RNAcentral lists this ribosomal RNA (502 nucleotides) under uncultured bacterium. RNAcentral's name for it is "partial 16S ribosomal RNA". It matches the Rfam family "Bacterial small subunit ribosomal RNA", at positions 28 to 523 of the family's 1533-position model. The record is from RNAcentral.
GAUGAACGCUAGCGGCAGGCCUAACACAUGCAAGUCGAGGGGCAGCACAGAAACAGCAAUGUUUUGGUGGCGACCGGCGGACGGGUGCGUAACGCGUAUGCAACCUACCUUUAACAGGGGGAUAACGGAGAGAAAUUUCCACUAAUACCCCAUAACAUCGAUCAAGGCAUCUUGAUUGGUUGAAAACUCCGGUGGUUAAAGAUGGGCAUGCGUUGUAUUAGGUAGUUGGUGAGGUAAUGGCUCACCAAGCCUACGAUACAUAGGGGGACUGAGAGGUUAGCCCCCCACACUAGUACGGAGACACGGACCAGACUCCUACGGGAGGCAGCAGUGAGGAAUAUUGGUCAAUGGGGGCAACCCUGAACCAGCCAUGCCGCGUGCAGGAGGACGGCUCUAUGAGUUGUAAACUGCUUUUAAACAGGGAUAAAGCACAGUAUGUAUACUGUGUUGAAGGUACUGUAAGAAUAAGGAUCGGCUAACUCCGUGCCAGCCGCCGCAGUAA